RNAcentral lists this ribosomal RNA (425 nucleotides) under uncultured bacterium. Its description in RNAcentral is "bacterial SSU rRNA". It matches the Rfam family "Bacterial small subunit ribosomal RNA", at positions 354 to 796 of the family's 1533-position model. The record is from RNAcentral.
GUAAGGAAUCUUCCACAAUGGACGAAAGUCUGAUGGAGCAACACCGCGUGCAGGAUGACGGUCUUCGGAUUGUAAACUGCUUUUAUUAGAGAAGAUUAUGACGGUAUCUAAUGAAUAAGGACCGGCUAACUACGUGCCAGCAGCCGCGGUAAUACGUAGGGUCCAAGCGUUAUCCGGAAUCACUGGGCGUAAAGCGUGCGUAGGUGGCGUGUUAAGUGUGAUGUUAAAUCGUGUGGCUCAACCAUAUCGAUGCAUCGCAUACUGGCACACUAGAGGACGGCAGAGGCAAGUGGAAUUACGAGUGUAGCAGUGAAAUGCGUAGAGAUUCGUAGGAACACCAAUGGCGAAGGCAGCUUGCUGGGCCACUCCUGACACUGAGGUACGAAAGCGUGGGGAGCGAACAGGAUUAGAAACCCCUGUAGUCC